Papaver somniferum (opium poppy) is the source of this 1587-nucleotide long non-coding RNA. RefSeq lists it as uncharacterized. NCBI's taxonomy places the organism in Eukaryota, Viridiplantae, Streptophyta, Magnoliopsida, Ranunculales, Papaveraceae. The transcript has 14 exons. The record is from RefSeq and is a predicted model, not a curated record.
UCCUCCGCCUCCCUAACCAUUGCCGCCACCUUCACGACUCAGUGACCACCACCAAUGAAUCAAUCUCUCUCACACACUCUGUACUAUAGAUUACUUAAUUGCUUAGCGAUGGCAAAUGGAGAAUGAUUUGGGCGUCGUUAAGACUUAAAGCACAAAGAUUAAGCCGGAUCUAGGAUGGGUUUCCAUACCAGGUUUUGUCGACAUCAAGGAAUUGGGAUUUUCUGAUGUUGUACGAGUCUUUUGCGGAAUCAUUUGGGGUAAAAUGGCUUGGGGCUAAGGAAGAUGUUGCUUGUAGGAUUAAGGAGUCUUUCUGCUACUUAACCUUUCUCACUCCCUGUAUAGAAGGACAUUACUUUUGUCUAUCUUCUUGGAUGUUGCAACUGUAUUUGCCUAUGAAACUCUAUUCAAGUGUAUUUCAGUGAAACAUAUGGUUCCAGGAAAUUAUGGAGUUGCUUUCGCAGUUUUAGAACAUAAAGAGGAUAAAAAGGAAGGUUUGGUAGCCGAGGCUGCUCGAGGACUUGCUUGGAUGGAUGGAAAUGUAGAAAAGAUGGAAAAGUAAACCCUUUAGCAGUUGAGAAAAAUAUUUUUCUAGGUCAGAGAAGACGAAUAUUGGAAGUGCAUCAUUAAGCGGGGAAUUAGUGAAUAAAUUGACUGGACUUGCAGCAAGUAAUUUAUGGAUUGUAUCUAGGGAAAUUACUUAUUUUUCAUUACAGCCUGUCACGGAGACCUGGAUUUCGGGAUGUAUGCAUGAGAUAAGGUUUUUUACUCAUCAUCAAUGCAAAAUCAUUUAAUCCCCAGUCGAUGGAUUUGAUAUGGACAUAUUGCAAUUAGCGGAGAGCACGGAUAGAAACGGUGAGCUUAUGGUUCCACCUUCAGCUAUAAAUGCGACUUAUAUUUCCUGCGUCCGCAGCUCGAGUUAAGGUUUGAGGCAGUACGCCCUGUCCUAAGAGAGAUGGCUCUUGCUGGUCUUGUUCACCUGGAUGCAAAGCAAGAAGCAAGUUACCCAACAUAUAUUUACUUUGUUGCUCAAAGUUGUAGGAAAGAGUGCUCCUGAAUUAUCUAAAGAAGCUGCUGGUGUUUGCUUAUGGUCAUUGAGUCAAAACACAGAUAUUUACAAAUAAUGGACAAGGUGUACUUAAAAAGCUGGCGAAUGAAUGAUUGCAGCACUCUACUAAAUAUUUUGAUCCUUUAAGGGAGUCUGUUAAGAUUUUAAGGCAGGAGAAAUACAUCAUCCCACGGCUUGCAAAUUGCUAUGCUAAUUCCUGGUUCUAUCAGAUAUCUAAGGAAAAACUUCCUGUGCAUAAAAGAUUUAAUGUUUGAACGCAAGGAUCACAUGGAGACUCAAAUGUUGCACACCCACCAUCCGAGCGGUCAUAUGUAGUGUACUUUUGAUUUAUUAAUGCAUGAUGUAACCUUUAGAUAGAAUUACACUGAUAGAAGUAGGUUGUUCAUUAUAUUUUCCUAGUGUAUCAACCUUCUAAUUUAGUGAAUGGUUGCAUAAAUUCACUGGAUAUGAAUAUGAAUAUAUGGAUGUAUUGUAAUUUCACAAACAAGAAUGAUUAUAAAUUUGCAGUUUCAUAGUUCGAA